GGGUGAGUAACACGUGGGUAACCUGCCUGUAAGACUGGGAUAACUCCGGGAAACCGGGGCUAAUACCGGAUGCUUGUUUGAACCGCAUGGUUCAAACAUAAAAGGUGGCUUCGGCUACCACUUACAGAUGGACCCGCGGCGCAUUAGCUAGUUGGUGAGGUAAUGGCUCACCAAGGCGACGAUGCGUAGCCGACCUGAGAGGGUGAUCGGCCACACUGGGACUGAGACACGGCCCAGACUCCUACGGGAGGCAGCAGUAGGGAAUCUUCCGCAAUGGACGAAAGUCUGACGGAGCAACGCCGCGUGAGUGAUGAAGGUUUUCGGAUCGUAAAGCUCUGUUGUUAGGGAAGAACAAGUACCGUUCGAAUAGGGCGGUACCUUGACGGUACCUAACCAGAAAGCCACGGCUAACUACGUGCCAGCAGCCGCGGUAAUACGUAGGUGGCAAGCGUUGUCCGGAAUUAUUGGGCGUAAAGGGCUCGCAGGCGGUUUCUUAAGUCUGAUGUGAAAGCCCCCGGCUCAACCGGGGAGGGUCAUUGGAAACUGGGGAACUUGAGUGCAGAAGAGGAGAGUGGAAUUCCACGUGUAGCGGUGAAAUGCGUAGAGAUGUGGAGGAACACCAGUGGCGAAGGCGACUCUCUGGUCUGUAACUGACGCUGAGGAGCGAAAGCGUGGGGAGCGAACAGGAUUAGAUACCCUGGUAGUCCACGCCGUAAACGAUGAGUGCUAAGUGUUAGGGGGUUUCCGCCCCUUAGUGCUGCAGCUAACGCAUUAAGC
This 777-nucleotide ribosomal RNA is filed under the name Bacillus subtilis. Its description in RNAcentral is "bacterial SSU rRNA". It matches the Rfam family "Bacterial small subunit ribosomal RNA", at positions 104 to 865 of the family's 1533-position model. The record is from RNAcentral. Lineage: Bacteria; Bacillati; Bacillota; Bacilli; Caryophanales; Bacillaceae.